UUUAACAACAACAUUUUCAUUAUUCCCACAAUUCAAUCAAAUUUCAUGGGUUUAAUAUAACAUUUUCAUCAUUCCCAUAAUUCAAUCAAAUUUCAUGGGUUUAUCAACUACAUUUUCAUCAUUCAGACAAUUCAAUCAAAUUUCAUGGGUUUAAUAAUAACAUCAUUUUCAUCAUUCACACAAUUCAAUCAAAUUUCAUGGGUUUAACAACAACAUUUUUAUCAUUCACAUAAUUCAAUCAAAUUCUAACGGUUUAAAAUAACAUUUUCAUCAUUUACAAAAUUCAAUAAAAUUUCAAUGCUUUACCAACAACAUUUAUACAAUUCAAUCAAUUUUUAUGAGUUUACCAACAACAUUUUCAUCAUUCACACAAUUCAAUCAAAUUUCAUGGGUUUAACAACAACAACAUUUUCAUCAUUUACACAAUUCAAUCAAAUUUCCUGGGUUCAACAACAACAACAUUUUCAAUAUUCACACAAUUCUAUCAAAUUUCAUUUGUUUAACAUCAACAUUUUCAUCAUUCACACAAUUCAAUCAAAUUUCAUGAAUUAACAACAACAUUUUCAUUAUUCCCACAAUUCAAUCAAAUUUCAUGGGUUGAACAACAACAUUUUCAUCAUUCACACAAUUUAAUCAAAUUUCAUGGGUUUAACAACAACUUUUCAUCAUUCGCAAAAUUCAAUCAAAUUUCAUGGUUUUAACAAGAUUUUCAUCACUCACACAAUUCAAUCAAAUUUCAUGGGUUUAACAACAACAACAUUUUCAUCAUUCACACAAUUCAAUCAAAUUUCCAUGGUUCAACAACAACAAAAUUUUCAAUAUUCACACAAUUCUAUCAAAUUUCAUUGGUUUAACAUCAACAUUUUCAUCAUUCACACAAUUCAAUCAAAU
Molecule: long non-coding RNA, 891 nt
Filed under: Lathyrus oleraceus (garden pea)
Lineage: Eukaryota; Viridiplantae; Streptophyta; Magnoliopsida; Fabales; Fabaceae
Description: Pisum sativum (pea) long non-coding RNA (PSAT_LNC039441)
Source: RNAcentral